RNAcentral lists this ribosomal RNA (508 nucleotides) under uncultured bacterium. RNAcentral's name for it is "partial 16S ribosomal RNA". It matches the Rfam family "Bacterial small subunit ribosomal RNA", at positions 28 to 507 of the family's 1533-position model. The record is from RNAcentral.
GACGAACGCUGGCGGCGUGCCUAAUACAUGCAAGUCGAACGCUUCUUUCCUCCCGAGUGCUUGCCCUCAAUUGGAAAGAGGAGUGGCGGACGGGUGAGUAACACGUGGGUAACCUACCCAUCAGAGGGGGAUAACACUUGGAAACAGGUGCUAAUACCGCAUAACAGUUUAUGCCGCAUGGCAUAAGAGUGAAAGGCGCUUUCGGGUGUCGCUGAUGGAUGGACCCGCGGUGCAUUAGCUAGUUGGUGAGGUAACGGCUCACCAAGGCCACGAUGCAUAGCCGACCUGAGAGGGUGAUCGGCCACACUGGGACUGAGACACGGCCCAGACUCCUACGGGAGGCAGCAGUAGGGAAUCUUCGGCAAUGGACGAAAGUCUGACCGAGCAACGCCGCGUGAGUGAAGAAGGUUUUCGGAUCGUAAAACUCUGUUGUUAGAGAAGAAUAAGGACGUUAGUAACUGAACGUCCCCUGACGGUAUCUAACCAGAAAGCCACGGCUAACUACGUG